ACUUAAACCUGUUGAAUUUCAUUAUGAAAUUGGUGAAUGUUAUUUUUUCUUCUUGACUCAUUUUCUUCUUCAUCUACGACAUGAACAGAUGCUGUAUCAUUUUAAAAACUUGGGAUCUGAGUUUUACCAAAGAUAGAACAUCUGUUCAUGUCCUAGAUGAAGAAGAAAAUGAGUCAGAAGAAAAAAUAACAUUCCCCGGUUUCAUAAUGAAAUUCAACAGGUUUAAG
RNAcentral lists this unclassified non-coding RNA (227 nucleotides) under Hevea brasiliensis (rubber tree). Lineage: Eukaryota; Viridiplantae; Streptophyta; Magnoliopsida; Malpighiales; Euphorbiaceae. The record is from RNAcentral.